This 73-nucleotide transfer RNA is filed under the name Capra hircus (goat). It matches the Rfam family "tRNA". From Rfam's summary of the family: Transfer RNA (tRNA) molecules are approximately 80 nucleotides in length. Their secondary structure includes four short double-helical elements and three loops (D, anti-codon, and T loops). Further hydrogen bonds mediate the characteristic L-shaped molecular structure. tRNAs have two regions of fundamental functional importance: the anti-codon, which is responsible for specific mRNA codon recognition, and the 3' end, to which the tRNAs corresponding amino acid is attached (by aminoacyl-tRNA synthetases). tRNAs cope with the degeneracy of the genetic code in two manners: having more than one tRNA (with a specific anti-codon) for a particular amino acid; and 'wobble' base-pairing, i.e. permitting non-standard base-pairing at the 3rd anti-codon position. RNAcentral also lists the same sequence under 1 other name. Lineage: Eukaryota; Metazoa; Chordata; Mammalia; Artiodactyla; Bovidae. The record is from Rfam by way of RNAcentral.
UCCCUGAUGGUCCAGUGGCUAAGGCUCCAUGCUCCCAAAGCAGGGGGCUCAGGUUCAAUCCCUGACCAGGGAA